AUGGCGACCGGCGCACGGGUGAGUAACACAUAUCCAACCUGCCGAUAACUCGGGGAUAGCCUUUCGAAAGAAAGAUUAAUACCCGAUGGUAUAAUCAGACCGCAUGGUUUGAUUAUUAAAGAAUUUCGGUUAUCGAUGGGGAUGCGUUCCAUUAGGCAGUUGGUGAGGUAACGGCUCACCAAACCUUCGAUGGAUAGGGGUUCUGAGAGGAAGGUCCCCCACAUUGGAACUGAGACACGGUCCAA
RNAcentral lists this ribosomal RNA (245 nucleotides) under uncultured bacterium. RNAcentral's name for it is "partial 16S ribosomal RNA". It matches the Rfam family "Bacterial small subunit ribosomal RNA", at positions 88 to 334 of the family's 1533-position model. The record is from RNAcentral.